GGUGUACUUUUGCAUAAUGGGUCAGCAAGUUAACAUUAGAUGCGAGAAAAUUUCGUAGUUAAACCAAACAUUAAAAUAACGAUUAGUUUUACUAUGAUCAGGAUUAUAAAAGUCCGAACGGGUGAUUGUGGCAAAAAUCUCCGAAGAAUCGUGGUAGGUAUAGUGAAAGACAAUACUGACUAGGAUAGCUGGUUUUCUACGAAACAUA
RNAcentral lists this ribosomal RNA (208 nucleotides) under Beauveria bassiana. RNAcentral's name for it is "partial large subunit ribosomal RNA". The record is from RNAcentral. Lineage: Eukaryota; Fungi; Ascomycota; Sordariomycetes; Hypocreales; Cordycipitaceae.